RNAcentral lists this long non-coding RNA (1144 nucleotides) under Salmo salar (Atlantic salmon). RNAcentral's name for it is "lncRNA (ENSSSAG00000103507.1)". The record is from RNAcentral. Lineage: Eukaryota; Metazoa; Chordata; Actinopteri; Salmoniformes; Salmonidae.
CUUUAGAAAAUAAAAUACAGAUUGUGGGUGCAGGGGUACAUUUUUUUUACAGUGUUGAUAUUUGGGGCAGUGACUUCAAGCAUCAAAAAGGAGAUUAAGCUUGGUAGUGUUAACUCUUAUAAAGACUUGGGUUUACCUUUACCCUCCGACCCACUGCAAUGGAGACUAGGAGGGUUGUUGACACACUGUAGGGGGAAGGCUGGAAGGCUGGUGGUUUUCCUGGCGAUCCUUUUUGUUUUAGCUUGAGAUGAGGUGGAGGUAGAGGUCGGGUUACAGGUGGUGGUUGAGGUGGACUGGGUGGUAUCGAGGUGGGUGGAGGUGGGCUGGGUGGUAUCAAGGUGGGUGGAGGUAGAGGUGGGGUUACAGGUGGUUGAGGUGGACUGGGUGGUAUCAAGGUGGGUUGAGGUAGAGGUGGGCUGGGUGGUAUCGAGGUGGGCGGAGGUAGAGGUGGACUGGGUGGUAUCGAGGUGGGUGAAGGUAGAGGUGGACUGGGUGGUAUCGAGGUGGGUGGAGGUAGAGGUGGACUGGGUGGUAUCGAGGUGGGUGAAGGUAGAGGUGGACUGGGUGGUAUCGAGGUGGGUGGAGGUUGAGGUGGACUGGGUGGUAUCGAGGUGGGUGGAGGUAGAGGUGGACUGGGUGGUAUCGAGGUGGGUGGAGGUAGAGGUGGACUGGGUGGUAUCGAGGUGGGUGGAGGUAGAGGUGGGCUGGGUGGCAUCGAGGUGGGUGGAGGUAGAGGUGGACUGGGUGGUAUCGAGGUGGGUGGUGGUUGAGGUGGACUGGGUGGUAUCGAGGUGGGUGGAGGUUGAGGUGGGCUGGGUGGUAUCGAGGUGGGUGGAGGUAGAGGUGGGCUGGGUGGUAUCGAGGUGGGUGGAGGUAGAGGUGGGGUUACAGGUGGUUGAGGUGGACUGGGUGGUAUCGAGGUGGGUGGAGGUAGAGGUGGACUGGGUGGUAUCGAGGUGGGCGGAGGUAGAGGUGGGGUUACAGGUGGUUGAGGUGGACUGGGUGGUAUCGAGGUGGGUGGAGGUAGAGGUGGACUGGAUGGUAUCGAGGUAGGUGGAGGUAGAGGUGGACUGGGUGGUAUCGAGGUGGGCGGAGGUAGAGGUGGGGUUACAGGUGGUGGUGGUCCCUCCUUCCUUCAGUCUCU